UAAGAGGGAAAUUGAAAAAGAAUCCAUUCAGUAAGACAAAAACAUGCAGUUAGGAUUUUGAAGAAUUUAUUUUGCAAUACAAAAACUAGGUUUUUUAACUUUAAUGGAAGUACCAAGUGAAGGAAACAUGUUACAUCCAUAUGUUGUUGUGCAGAAAUCGAAAUGUGCGCAAUCCAAACGAGGAAAAUGUGAGUCAACAAAAG
RNAcentral lists this long non-coding RNA (203 nucleotides) under Physcomitrium patens. Its description in RNAcentral is "long non-coding RNA (PPAT_LNC007973)". The record is from RNAcentral. Lineage: Eukaryota; Viridiplantae; Streptophyta; Bryopsida; Funariales; Funariaceae.